Molecule: long non-coding RNA, 542 nt
Organism: Aedes albopictus (Asian tiger mosquito)
Lineage: Eukaryota; Metazoa; Arthropoda; Insecta; Diptera; Culicidae
Exons: 4
Source: RefSeq, a predicted model, not a curated record
GGUGCGACACUCUAAUCUUUUUGGAAUCACUUUUAAAGAUUCGAAAUGAUUCAAAAAGAUUCGAAAAGAUUCGGCGUGAUUCAAGAAAAAAAGUUGGCCCGACAGUGAUAUCCAAAUAACCACAACUUUUAGUUCAGUGUUUGUUUUGAUCUGGAGAGCGCGAAGCCUUUCGUUUUCUUCUCUUGCUGUGUAGUAAAAUAAAGUGCCGACAAGUGAAGGAGGGUGAUGGACUCCAACGUAUGGCUCAAAGAAGAGGUCAUCGACCCCGUGGCGGCCGCGCAUACGAUGACUGAAUUGUUUAGCAACGAACCACUCUCCAUUUCCGCCGUACAGCAAAUAAAGUGUCAAAGCGUCAAAGAUAGACCACCACUUCCGACAGUUCCACGAGAUUACACAGGAUCUUUCGUUUCGACGUAUUGCCGUAUCCAGACUUACUUCGAUGAGCAAAUUGCGACAAGUUUUAUACAUAUAAUUAUUUAAUGUAUUAUACCAUUAUACAUAUUGCUGAUUCAAAAUAAAUAUUACGGGGGUGGGUUUUUACU